This 559-nucleotide ribosomal RNA is filed under the name uncultured bacterium. Its description in RNAcentral is "bacterial SSU rRNA". It matches the Rfam family "Bacterial small subunit ribosomal RNA", at positions 338 to 890 of the family's 1533-position model. The record is from RNAcentral.
CCUACGGGAGGCAGCAGUGGGGAAUUUUGGACAAUGGGCGCAAGCCUGAUCCAGCCAUGCCGCGUGCGGGAAGAAGGCCUUCGGGUUGUAAACCGCUUUUGUCAGGGAAGAAAAGGUUCUGGCUAAUACCUGGGACUCAUGACGGUACCUGAAGAAUAAGCACCGGCUAACUACGUGCCAGCAGCCGCGGUAAUACGUAGGGUGCAAGCGUUAAUCGGAAUUACUGGGCGUAAAGCGUGCGCAGGCGGUUAUGCAAGACAGAGGUGAAAUCCCCGGGCUCAACCUGGGAACUGCCUUUGUGACUGCAUAGCUAGAGUACGGUAGAGGGGGAUGGAAUUCCGCGUGUAGCAGUGAAAUGCGUAGAUAUGCGGAGGAACACCGAUGGCGAAGGCAAUCCCCUGGACCUGUACUGACGCUCAUGCACGAAAGCGUGGGGAGCAAACAGGAUUAGAUACCCUGGUAGUCCACGCCCUAAACGAUGUCAACUGGUUGUUGGGAGGGUUUCUUCUCAGUAACGUAGCUAACGCGUGAAGUUGACCGCCUGGGGNGAGCGCAGUGA